This 518-nucleotide ribosomal RNA is filed under the name Clostridioides difficile. Its description in RNAcentral is "partial 23S ribosomal RNA". It matches the Rfam family "Bacterial large subunit ribosomal RNA", at positions 671 to 1189 of the family's 2925-position model. The record is from RNAcentral. Lineage: Bacteria; Bacillati; Bacillota; Clostridia; Peptostreptococcales; Peptostreptococcaceae.
GCGAAAGCGAGUUUUAACUGAGCGUUCAGUUACUUGACGUAGACCCGAAACCGGGCGACCUACCCAUGAGCAGGAUGAAGCGAAAGUAAAAUUUCGUGGAGGUCCGAACCCACGAGCGUUGAAAAGCUCGGGGAUGACUUGUGGGUAGCGGUGAAAUUCCAAUCGAGCCCGGAGAUAGCUGGUUCUCCCCGAAAUAGCUUUAGGGCUAGCCUCAAGGUGAGAGAUACGGAGGUAGAGCACUGAAUGUCCUAGGGGGUAUUGCACCUACCGAAGACUAUCAAACUCCGAAUGCCGUCAUCUUAUACUUGGGAGUCAGACUGUGGGUGAUAAGAUUCAUAGUCGAAAGGGCAACAGCCCAGAUCGUCAGCUAAGGUCCCUAAAUGUAAGUUAAGUGGUAAAGGAUGUGGGAUUGCACAGACAACCAGGAUGUUGGCUUAGAAGCAGCCACUCAUUCAAAGAGUGCGUAAUAGCUCACUGGUCGAGUGAUCCUGCGCCGAAGAUUUCCGGGGCUAAAACUU